Molecule: ribosomal RNA, 496 nt
Filed under: uncultured bacterium
Lineage: Bacteria
Description: partial 16S ribosomal RNA
Rfam family: Bacterial small subunit ribosomal RNA
Source: RNAcentral
AUGAACGCUGGCGGCGUGCCUAAUACAUGCAAGUCGAGCGAACAGACGAGGAGCUUUCUCCUCUGACGUUAGCGGCGGACGGGUGAGUAACACGUGGAUAACCUACCUAUAAGACUGGGAUAACUUCGGGAAACCGGAGCUAAUACCGGAUAAUAUAUUGAACCGCAUGGUUCAAUAGUGAAAGACGGUUUUGCUGUCACUUAUAGAUGGAUCCGCGCCGCAUUAGCUAGUUGGUAAGGUAACGGCUUACCAAGGCAACGAUGCGUAGCCGACCUGAGAGGGUGAUCGGCCACACUGGAACUGAGACACGGUCCAGACUCCUACGGGAGGCAGCAGUAGGGAAUCUUCCGCAAUGGGCGAAAGCCUGACGGAGCAACGCCGCGUGAGUGAUGAAGGUCUUCGGAUCGUAAAACUCUGUUAUUAGGGAAGAACAAAUGUGUAAGUAACUAUGCACGUCUUGACGGUACCUAAUCAGAAAGCCACGGCUAACUACGUG